This 1137-nucleotide ribosomal RNA is filed under the name uncultured fungus. RNAcentral's name for it is "eukaryotic LSU rRNA". The stretch from base 514 to 1137 matches the Rfam family "Eukaryotic large subunit ribosomal RNA", at positions 1 to 649 of the family's 3401-position model. Lineage: Eukaryota; Fungi. The record is from RNAcentral.
AAGUCGUAACAAGGUUUCCGUAGGUGAACCUGCGGAAGGAUCAUUAACCAAAAGGAUACCUUUAUGGUAUACCCCAUCCGUGUCUACAAACUCUUGUUGCUUUGGCAGGCCGUGGUCUUGACCCUGUGGGCUCUGCCUGCAUGUGCCUGCCAGAGGACCAAACUCUGAAUUUUAGUGAUGUCUGAGUACUAUAUAAUAGUUAAAACUUUCAACAACGGAUCUCUUGGUUCUGGCAUCGAUGAAGAACGCAGCGAAAUGCGAUAAGUAAUGUGAAUUGCAGAAUUCAGUGAAUCAUCGAAUCUUUGAACGCACAUUGCGCCCGGUGGUAUUCCGCCGGGCAUGCCUGUUCGAGCGUCUCUAUCAACCUACACGCCUCGCGUGGAAUUGGGUCUGCGGUCCGCUGCAGUCCUAAAGUCUAAGAGCGAUACCAGUCUGGUUCUAAGCGUAGUACAUACCCCGCUACAGGACUUCUCUGGUGCUCGGCCAUAAAUGGUGCAAGCCCAUUAACAAGGUUGACCUCGGAUCAAGUAGGGAUACCCGCUGAACUUAAGCAUAUCAAUAAGCGGAGGAAAAGAAACCAACAGGGAUUACCUUAGUAACGGCGAGUGAAGCGGUAACAGCUCAAAUUUGAAAGCUGCCAACAGGUCGCAUUGUAAUUUGUAGAAGAUGCUUUGGGUGUUGGCCUAGUCUAAGUUCCUUGGAACAGGACGUCAUAGAGGGUGAGAAUCCCGUAUGUGAUUAGUGCCUUCCCCCGUGUAAAGCUCUUUCGACGAGUCGAGUUGUUUGGGAAUGCAGCUCAAAAUGGGUGGUAAAUUUCAUCUAAAGCUAAAUAUUGGCCAGAGACCGAUAGCGCACAAGUAGGGUGAUCGAAAGAUGAAAAGCACUUUGGAAAGAGAGUUAAACAGUACGUGAAAUUGUUGAAAGGGAAGCGCUUGCAAUCAGACUUGCAGGCGGUUGAUCAUCCGGGGUUCUCCCCGGUGCACUCGAUCGUUUUCAGGCCAGCAUCAGUUCUCGUGGUGGGAUAAAGGCUGUGAGAAUGUGGCUCUUCGGAGUGUUAUAGCUCACGGUGCAAUGCCGCCUACGGGGACUGAGGACCGCGCUUCGGCUAGGAUGCUGGCGUAAUGGUUGUAAGCGACC